UAGAUGCUGGAUGUGUUCCGAUGACUUAGGU
RNAcentral lists this non-coding RNA (31 nucleotides) under Mus musculus (house mouse). The record is from RNAcentral. Lineage: Eukaryota; Metazoa; Chordata; Mammalia; Rodentia; Muridae.